Molecule: non-coding RNA, 117 nt
Filed under: Pan paniscus (pygmy chimpanzee)
Lineage: Eukaryota; Metazoa; Chordata; Mammalia; Primates; Hominidae
Also listed under: 1 other name
Source: Rfam by way of RNAcentral
GCCGGGUGUGGUGGCUCACACCUGUAAUCCCAGCACUUUGGGAGGCUGAGAUGGAUGGAUCACCUGAGGUCAGGAGUUCGAGACCAGCCUGGCCAACAUGGUGAAACCCCGUCUCUA